UAAGCAUAUCAAUAAGCGGAGGAAAAGAAACCAACAGGGAUUGCCUUAGUAACGGCGAGUGAAGCGGCAACAGCUCAAAUUUGAAAUCUGGCCCUCGGGUCCGAAUUGUAAUUUGUAGAGGAUGAUUUGGGUGCGGUAUCUUCCGAGUUCCUUGGAACAGGACGCCUUAGAGGGUGAGAGCCCCGUACGGUUGAAUGCCUAGCCUCUGUAAAUCUCCUUCGACGAGUCGAGUAGUUUGGGAAUGCUGCUCUAAAUGGGAGGUAAAUUUCUUCUAAAGCUAAAUAUUGGCCAGAGACCGAUAGCGCACAAGUAGAGUGAUCGAAAGAUGAAAAGCACUUUGAAAAGAGGGUUAAAUAGCACGUGAAAUUGUUGAAAGGGAAGGAUUUGUGACCAGACUUUUUCUGGGCGGAUCAUCCGGGGUUCUCUCCGGUGCACUUUGCCCAGUAAAGGCCAGCAUCGAUUUUCGGCGGCGGAUAAAAGCAGUGGGAAUGUGGCUCCCUACGGGGAGUGUUAUAGCCCAUUGUAUAAUACGCUGCUGGGGAUCGAGGUACGCGCUUCUGCAAGGAUGCUGGCGUAAUGGUUAUCAAUCACCCGUCUUGAAACACGGACCAAGGAGUCGAACAUUUAUGCGAGUGUUUGGGUGUUAAACCCUCACGCGUAAUGAAAGUGAACGGAGGUGAGAGCCCGUACGGGUGCAUCAUCGACCGAUCCUGAAGUUUUCGGAUGGAUUUGAGUAAGAGCAUAACUGUUCGGACCCGAAAGAUGGUGAACUAUGCGUGGAUAGGGUGAAGCCAGAGGAAACUCUGGUGGAGGCUCGCAGCGGUUCUGACGUGCAAAUCGAUCGUCAAAUCUGCGCAUGGGGGCGAAAGACUAAUCGA
This 878-nucleotide ribosomal RNA is filed under the name Pestalotiopsis biciliata. Its description in RNAcentral is "LSU rRNA". It matches the Rfam family "Eukaryotic large subunit ribosomal RNA", at positions 35 to 938 of the family's 3401-position model. Lineage: Eukaryota; Fungi; Ascomycota; Sordariomycetes; Amphisphaeriales; Sporocadaceae. The record is from RNAcentral.